UCCCUGGAGGACUAGUGGUUAGGCCACGGCGCUCUCAUGGCCCCAGCCCAGGUUCGAUUCCCAGCUAGGGAA
This 72-nucleotide transfer RNA is filed under the name Pangasianodon gigas (Mekong giant catfish). RNAcentral describes it as "tRNA-Glu". Lineage: Eukaryota; Metazoa; Chordata; Actinopteri; Siluriformes; Pangasiidae. The record is from RNAcentral.